GGGAAUGAGUUUCGUGUUUGAAAUCAACCACAAAUAUGUGAGGCGUUACUUGGACACCAUUACCAAGAAGAGCCAACGUAAGAAAAGCAAUUUUGAAUGGUCACCUGGACGAGAACCAUGAUGGAAGCUGUUGAAAGGUGCCUUCUGUUUUAUGGUUUGUCCAAGUAAUUAAGCAAUGUGUUGUACGAAUAUAUUAUUGAUAGCAUCUAUGUCUCACCCAGCAAUAGAUCUGUGGAUAUUUCAUGUUACAUGUAGAUAAUCGUUUUAUAUUCAAGUCUGGGCAGCAGCAUGAUUCUCUCUCUCUCUCUCUCUCUCUCUCUCUCUCUCUCUCGGCAUCCGUCUUGCUGAUCUGUUUUCAGCAAAAAAUUGGCAUAUAUGAUAGAGAGUUUGGCUUUAAUGAUUCAUUGCCAGUAGGUGGAGUACGUCCUGGCUUUUCUUCUUGGCUGCAAUUGAUGUAUGGAUAAGGGUCCUUCUGAAUCUACACUGAUGGUUUAUGGAGAGUGAGCCCAUUAGAAAGCAGAACCAUUUUCAGUUCAUGCAACUUAUAGAAACAAGUCGAUUCGACCAUGUAGAAAUCUAGACCCUAUUCUUGCCUUUUGGAGAAAGUCUUAUGUUGAUCAGGCAGAUGCUUUCAGCGACCUAAUUUCCUAGUAAAACGAUGUUAAAAAAAAUUACAAAACAGGCUCGUUUGAUGAAUUGUGGUAUCAUUCUGAUUGAAAAAUUGGAAUUUGGACUUGGUCAUUUGAAUAUGCAUUAUUUAUUUCUACUUUACUCACCUG
This 779-nucleotide long non-coding RNA is filed under the name Panax ginseng (ginseng). RNAcentral describes it as "long non-coding RNA (PGIN_LNC016630)". The record is from RNAcentral. Lineage: Eukaryota; Viridiplantae; Streptophyta; Magnoliopsida; Apiales; Araliaceae.